This 498-nucleotide ribosomal RNA is filed under the name uncultured bacterium. RNAcentral describes it as "partial 16S ribosomal RNA". It matches the Rfam family "Bacterial small subunit ribosomal RNA", at positions 28 to 507 of the family's 1533-position model. The record is from RNAcentral.
GACGAACGCUGGUGGCGUGCCUAAUACAUGCAAGUCGAACGAGAGCGACCGGUGCUUGCACUGGUCAAUCUAGUGGCGAACGGGUGAGUAACACGUGGGUAACCUGCCCAUCAGAGGGGGAUAACAUCCGGAAACGGAUGCUAAAACCGCAUAGGUCUUCGAGCCGCAUGGCUUGAAGAGGAAAAGAGGCGCAAGCUUCUGCUGAUGGAUGGACCCGCGGUGCAUUAGCUAGUUGGUGAGGUAACGGCUCACCAAGGCCGUGAUGCAUAGCCGACCUGAGAGGGUGAUCGGCCACAUUGGGACUGAGACACGGCCCAAACUCCUACGGGAGGCAGCAGUAGGGAAUCUUCCGCAAUGGACGCAAGUCUGACGGAGCAACGCCGCGUGAGUGAAGAAGGUUUUCGGAUCGUAAAACUCUGUUGUUAGAGAAGAACAAGUGCUAGAGUAACUGUUAGCGCCUUGACGGUAUCUAACCAGAAAGCCACGGCUAACUACGUG